GGCUUCAGGUGAUCCUCCCACGUCAGCCUCCCAAAGGGUUGGGAUUACAGGCAUGAGCCACCAUGCCCAGCCCAGAUGAUUCUUAUAAGAUGAGAACAGCUGCUCCAAAAGAGUCAGAUGCUGAGAUCCAUUGUCCACCCUGGCUCCUGCUCUGAAUUGACAUCAGUUUGCAACUAGCAGUUUCAUAAAUCAAGAAAAAGAAGAAAGGUAAAUUAAUGACUGUGUUAACUAGAGGGGCUCUGAAUUUCUGCUUUACAUGUACUCAUUUUGAAUUUCACUUUUAUUAUAAUGAACUUGCAAACACAGCAUUGCAAUAGUAUAUGCACCUCCCAAAGAUGCUGGGAAAUAGCUGAUAUUUCAUCAUUUGAGGACAGUUUGUGCCUGCAAGUGGCAGAGGUGCAGGAGGAGACAAAUAAAAGGGAUGCCUACAUCCUAUUUCCAUGAAUUUCUGUCCUCUGAGCUGAAAGACAAUUUACAAGUUGGCUGAUAAGACCUUGAAGAAAGAAGAUAUUUUAAAACUUUAAUUGAAAAUCCCCAUUCCUUCUCAUUGAAGAAGCAAAAGAAGAAACUAUAAUGAUGGACACUCUGGUGCUAGUAUCAGUCAUUUUGAUCACAAGACGUGGACCAGCCCACCUUGGAGCUCACUGUGGUGGUGGCCUGGUCCUAAUGCAAGUCCUAAUGGAGCUCUUGGAACUGGCUGUAGCCUUUGCUGAGCAGGAGCAACUAUGUCUCUGGUUCUUAAGGAUUGAAAAGUGUCUGUGGCCAUCUGAAAACGUCCACAUGAUGCCAGACCAUGCUUUACUCUGAAAAUCCACCGAUAAGGUACGUUGAAGAUGGAGAACAACUGAUGUCAAGACACAUUUUGGUUGUAAGGGACAGAAGUCCAACUCCAACGAGCUUGCCAAGGAUGGAACCUGCUGGCAAACAUAACCAAACUUUGGGAAGGGCAGGGUAUGGUUAACCUCAGGUUUCUGGAAGCAGAGUGUACAGUGCUGUGCCGUCCCUCUUCUCUCUGCUUCUCUCUGCGUAUUGGCCCUAUCCUCUCAGUGGGGCACCCUCCCUGAGCAGCGAACAGCAGCCACAGGAAGCUCCAGUGUCAAUGCCUCCCACAGCUUUCCAGAGAAGCAGCAGCCUCUUUGUUAGCUCCGUAUCAAAGACAUCCACAGGCAGGGCUUUGUGUGACCCAGUUUGGGUCACGUCUUUAUUUGGGGCCCGGAGGAAAUGGAUACAAUGACUACAGCCCAUCAUAGAACCUCAUGUUUAGAGGACCAAAUUUCCUCUCUCCAAAAGUGAAAUGUUGUCACUGUCCAUUCAACUGAUGAAAAUCUUCCUUUUCAACAGAAAAACUAUCAUGAUGUUGUCUGUUGGGCUUCAGUUUCUUACAGCAGUCAUCUUAAGAAUUAAACUGGUAUGGAUAAUCUGACUAUGAACUCCUUGAGGGCAGGGACCAUAUUAUAUAAUACUUCUGUGUCCUCUGCUAUUUCUUAGCAGAAUUUUGAAAAUGUGCCAAGUGUUGACUUGGUUCGAUCACUUGUGAGAAUGGAGGGACCCAUAAUGUUAAUAAUCAAUGAAGGUUGUUGGAGUUACUUACCCAAAACCUUAUGAACUUAGCCUUCCCUAGCAGAUUUAGUUUCGUAAUUUGUCCGGUAUAAGCAAACACUAAAGAGGGAUUGGGGAAAGUUGUGAGUUGAGUAGUUGGGAAAAAGGUAGUUUGCAGUUUUAUUUACGUCUCACAGCUUGACAUUUUUUGUUUGCCUUGGAGGGGGUACUUUUAAAAAUUCCUCUUUUGAAAACAAUAAAAUCUUAGAUUUUGGAUAACAGAUAUUUCUGUACUAUAUACCUCACUUAAGAUUUUCAAAGUAAUGUUUAAAAGUGCCUUUUAUAUUUUUUCAUACCACAUUGUAGGGAAGGCCAGGGUCAUUUUUUAACACUUAACUAUGCUCAAUACCUCCUCACCACUAUAAAGUAAGGUCGAAUGUUGGUUAAAGCAAAGCUGUCUGGAAUCACCCUGUCAAAAGUACUGAUUUAUAACCUUGCUACUCACAUUUCUUACUGUGGUGCCCUCCCUCUUGUUGGCUCCUGCAUCUUUGAAGUACAGGGAAAAUGAACUAAUAUGGCAGCUCCAAUAUGCAGCUAAUCCUGCCAAUGAUGUCUCCCCUGGAAGUGUUUGAGAGAAGAAUUUCUUUUCCCAGUAUGGAUUUAUGUAAACAUUUGUUCCAUUCACGAGUAGCACAUUAAUGCCUAAUUCUGGAAAAAAUACAAAGAAAAAACCUUU
RNAcentral lists this long non-coding RNA (2275 nucleotides) under Homo sapiens (human). RNAcentral's name for it is "HSALNT0327672". Lineage: Eukaryota; Metazoa; Chordata; Mammalia; Primates; Hominidae. The record is from RNAcentral.